ACUGCUCAGUAACACGUAUAGGAAUUGGCGGGGGAGCACAUACUGCUCAGUAACACGUAUAGGAAUUGGCGGGGGAGCACAUACGGCUCAGUAACACGUGGCUAAUCUGCCCUUGGGACAAGAACAACCCCGGGAAACUGGGGCUAAUUCUUGAUAGGCGAAGAACUCUGGAAUGAGUCUUCACCCAAUAGAUUCAAAGUUAUGCUCUUUGAAUCGCUCAAGGAUGAGGCCGCGACCGAUCAGGUUGUUGGUGAGGUAAUGGCUCACCAAGCCUUUUACCGGUGCGGGCCGUGAGAGCGGGAGCCCGGAGAUGGGCACUGAGACAAGGGCCCAGGCCCUACGGGGCGCAGCAGUCGCGAAAACUUUGCAAUAAGCGAAAGCUUGACAGGGCUAUCCCGAGUGCCAUCCGCUGAGGAAGGCUUUUACCCAGUCUAGAACGCUGGGGGAAUAAGGAGAGGGCAAGUCUGGUGUCAGCCGCCGCGGUAAUACCAGCUCCCCGAGUGGUGUGGAUGUUUAUUGGGCCUAAAGUAUCCGUAGCUGGCUAAGUUAGUCCCUUGUUAAAUCCACCGAAUUAAUCGUUGGAUUGCGGGGGAUACUGCUUGGCUAGGGAACGAGAGAGGCAGACGGUAUUUCCGGGGUAGGGGGUGAAAUCCUAUAAUCCCGGGAAGACCACCAGUGGCGAAGGCUGUCUGCUAGAACGCGUCCGACGGUGAGGGAUGAAAGCUGGGGGAGCGAACCGGAUUAGAUACCCGGGUAGUCCCAGCUGUAAACGAUGCAGGCUAGGUGUUUGGACGGCCACGUGCCGUUCUAGUGCCGCAGGGAAGCUGUUAAGCCUGCCGCCUGGGGAGUACGAUCGCAAGAUUGAAACUUAAAGGAAUUGGCGGGGGAGCAC
This 892-nucleotide ribosomal RNA is filed under the name uncultured archaeon. RNAcentral's name for it is "bacterial SSU rRNA". It matches the Rfam family "Archaeal small subunit ribosomal RNA", at positions 1 to 879 of the family's 1478-position model. The record is from RNAcentral.